GUGGUGUUUGGAUCGUCCCUGCCGGCUGGCUCCGUGCCCGUCCACCGAACGGUCGGCGGGCGAUCCGCUUCGGUCGCGCUGGGUGGUAUGGUUCCCCAGAGGCCGGUUCUUGUGCUGCCUACCCCUUCAGGGGAAGCGGGCCGCUUGAUGCAAGCCUCCAUCCCGCGCCCUGCAACGGGCGCAGGAGGACAACGGAGCACCCCCCGCGUUCCACCGAGCCCCCUCGGUCGCGUGGCGCGCGGGGACGUGCGAUGCUCUCGGACCCAGCGAACGCCGUGGGCGAGGACUCACGUCCCAGUCCCGAUAGAAGCUCCCACAUAAUGCAUGACGGCCGCUCCCGUCCCCCGACCGCCCCGGAAGGCGCGGGGGCGAGGCGCGGCGUCGCGGAGGAAUGCUACCUGGUUGAUCCUGCCAGUAGUCAUAUGCUUGUCUCAAAGAUUAAGCC
Molecule: unclassified non-coding RNA, 445 nt
Filed under: Acacia gonoclada
Lineage: Eukaryota; Viridiplantae; Streptophyta; Magnoliopsida; Fabales; Fabaceae
Description: partial contains external transcribed spacer and 18S ribosomal RNA
Rfam family: Eukaryotic small subunit ribosomal RNA (bases 396-445)
Source: RNAcentral